UACGUAGGGGGCGAGCGUUGUCCGGAAUUACUGGGCGUAAAGAGGGCGUAGGCGGCACUACAAGUCUCAUGUGAAAUACCCGGGCUUAACUUGGGGGUUGCAUGGGAAACUGUAGAGCUUGAGUACAGGAGAGGCAAGCGGAAUUCCUAGUGUAGCGGUGAAAUGCAUAGAUAUUAGGAGGAACACCAGUGGCGAAGGCGGCUUGCUGGACUGAAACUGACGCUGAGGCUCGAAAGCGUGGGGAGCAAACAGG
This 253-nucleotide ribosomal RNA is filed under the name uncultured bacterium. Its description in RNAcentral is "partial 16S ribosomal RNA". It matches the Rfam family "Bacterial small subunit ribosomal RNA", at positions 524 to 776 of the family's 1533-position model. The record is from RNAcentral.